GGUUUGGUCGCGGAUUUGU
This 19-nucleotide microRNA is filed under the name Ananas comosus (pineapple). RNAcentral describes it as "microRNA s1435_c075b". Lineage: Eukaryota; Viridiplantae; Streptophyta; Magnoliopsida; Poales; Bromeliaceae. The record is from RNAcentral.